RNAcentral lists this ribosomal RNA (468 nucleotides) under uncultured bacterium. RNAcentral describes it as "partial 16S ribosomal RNA". It matches the Rfam family "Bacterial small subunit ribosomal RNA", at positions 28 to 507 of the family's 1533-position model. The record is from RNAcentral.
GACGAACGCUGGCGGCGUGCUUAACACAUGCAAGUCGAACGGAAAGGCCCUGCUUUUGUGGGGUGCUCGAGUGGCGAACGGGUGAGUAACACGUGAGUAACCUGCCCUUGACUUUGGGAUAACUUCAGGAAACUGGGGCUAAUACCGGAUAGGAGCUCCUGCUGCAUGGUGGGGGUUGGAAAGUUUCGACGGUUGGGGAUGGACUCGCGGCUUAUCAGCUUGUUGGUGGGGUAGUGGCUUACCAAGGCUUUGACGGGUAGCCGGCCUGAGAGGGUUACCGGCCACAUUGGGACUGAGAUACGGCCCAGACUCCUACGGGAGGCAGCAGUGGGGAAUAUUGCACAAUGGGCGGAAGCCUGAUGCAGCAACGCCGCGUGCGGGAUGACGGCCUUCGGGUUGUAAACCGCUUUCGCCUGUGACGAAGCGUGAGUGACGGUAAUGGGUAAAGAAGCACCGGCUAACUACGUG